GAAAGCACGACAUUGCUCACAUUGCUUCCAGUAUUACUUAGCCAGCCUUGCGCUGGCUUUUUUUU
This is a small RNA of Buttiauxella agrestis ATCC 33320, 65 nucleotides long. NCBI's taxonomy places the organism in Bacteria, Pseudomonadati, Pseudomonadota, Gammaproteobacteria, Enterobacterales, Enterobacteriaceae. The record is from Rfam.